Molecule: long non-coding RNA, 4009 nt
Filed under: Sus scrofa (pig)
Lineage: Eukaryota; Metazoa; Chordata; Mammalia; Artiodactyla; Suidae
Description: lncRNA (ENSSSCG00000045784.2)
Source: RNAcentral
UUUCCAUAAAUACAGUUAUGGGGUUGGAUGUUAGGGAGAGGUGCAGAAGCAGGCAUGACUAGUACUAUUUUGGAACAAAUGAGUCAUAACCCCUUCUCUCCAGGAGUUCUGAGACACGCCUGUAAAUAUAUGACAAGAAAGGAGGCCUAAGGCCAUUUGAACCGUAUAAAUGGCAAAUGCUCGGAAAGUCAUCUUUAAUAGACAACAGAGUAUAGACAGAGGAAGUGAAGUUUUAAUAUGCCUGGAGUGAACUGAUGUGAUCACCAUGAGCUGGACAAUAAUUUUAAUUUUUAAUUUUUUUUUUCAGCUGCACCUGUGGCACAUGGAAGUUCCCAGGCUAGGGGUCCAAUUGGAGCUGCAGCUGCUGGCCUGUGCCAUGGCCACAGCAACACGGGACUUGAGCCGGGUCUGCGACCUACACCACAGCUCAUGGUAAUGCUGGAUCCUUAACCUACGAGCGAGGCCAGGGAUAAACCUGCGUCUUCAUGGAUACCAGCUGGGAUUGUUAAUGCUGAACCUCAACGGGAACUCCUGGACAAAGACUUUUAAAAAGUAAGCUGUGUCUGAAAACAAAAUAAAUCAGUUGGUGGCCAUGGAAUGCUAGUCCGAGUACUCUUAAAGUGUUAAUUGUUUGGGGGGCAAACAAUUCAUUAUGUCUGUGGUUGGGGUGGUGCUGCUAGUGCUAAGGGCCUGAAGGUUAGAGGAAAACUUUUCUUGCAGGUGUCAACACCACGGUUUACCUUCCCAGAUUGUGGCCCCUUCCAGGACCAGAAGAGGAUCUGACUCACUUUGUUUCCAAUGAUGCCCAACAAAGUACUGAGGGAAAAUGGAAUGUGUGGCAUGAUAAUGAGCCAACAAUGCUCUUUCCUUAGCCUGAAAACAGGACCUCGUUAACAAAACCAACCAACCCGACAUUUAGAUCAUUUCAUUUGAAUGGCUGAAAGGGUGGUUGUCAUUAUUCUGUCCAUCCAUCCAUCUGGCUAAAGUUUGAUUAUCCACAUAAGAAUAAAACUGCUCAGGGAUUAUGAGCAUUUGCUAAUUCCAGAAUCAUUCUGGGAAUAAAGUCACCAGAAAAAUGCAGUCCUAGGACUAUGUCCUGUCAAUAUGUCAGUUGUUCUCAACUUGAUUUUGAGAGUCAAAGAAAUCCCAAUCAAAACCCCAGCAAGUUAUUUUGCAGAUUAUGAGAGUUUAAUGUCUAAAGUUUUUUGUUUUAUGUCUAAAGUUUAUUGGGUUUUUUUUUUUUUUUGCCACGCCUGCAGCAUGUGGAAGUUCCUGGGCUAGGCACUGAACCCACACCACAACCCAUCAACCUGAGCUACUGCAGUAACAAACGCCAGAUUCUUAACCCUCUGAGCCGCACAAGGACUCUGUGACAGAUACAUUCUUAAGUUUAAAUAAAAAAGGCAAGAGACCCAGAGUAGACAACACAAUAUGGAAGAAGAACAAAGUUGGAGAACAGACACUACCUGACAAGACUUACCAUGAAGCUACAGUAAUAAAGACAGUAUGGUGUUGGCCAGAGAGUAGGCAGAUAUAUUGAUGUUGCUCUUUUUCUUCCCUUCUCUUGUUCUCUCCUCUUUGGGUUUGAUGACUAUCUUUAGUGUUAUAUUUGAGUUGAUUUUUGUUUGUGCAUCAAUUGUAGAUUUUUGGUUUGCAGUUAUUCUGAAGUUUUGAUAUGAGUCUCUAUGUAUAUGAGAUUGUUUUGAGUUGCUGUUCUCUUAAUUGCAAGUUCACCUCCAGUGUCCUGCAUUUGUACCCACCUCUUCUCAUGAUUUCUGAUUUUGGUGGCAUAAUUGUGCAUGGAUGAUUUUGUAUCUUUACUGUAUAUAUACCUUUACUGGUGAGCCUUGUCAUUUGUGGAAUUUUUGUUUCCUGUUGCUGUCUUUUCUUUUCUGCCUAGAGAAGUUCCUUUAGUAUUUGUUGUAAGGCUGGCUUAGUGUUGCUGAAUUCUCUCAGCUUUUGCUUAUCUGUGAAGGUUUUGAUUUCUCCUUCAAAUCUGAAUGAGAGCCUUGCUGGGUAGAGUCAUCUUGCUUGGAGGUUUUUUCCUUUCAUCAUGUUAAGUAUAUCAUGCCACUCCCUUCUGGCCUGCCGAGUUUCUGCUGAAAAAUCUGCCAAUGACCUUAUCAGGGUUCCCUUGUAUGUUAUUUGUUUCUUUUCCCUAGCUGCUUUCAAGAUUUUCUUUGUUAAUUUUGGUCAGUUUGAUUAAUAUGUAUCUCGGUGUAUUCCUCCUUGGGUUUAUCUUAUAUGGUACUUGUUGUGCUUUCUGGAUUUGAGUGAGUGGUUCCUUUCCCAUAGUGAGGGAAGUUUUCGGCUGUUAUGUCUUGGAAUAUUUUUUCUGUCCCCUUCUCUUUCUCUUCUCCUUCUGGCACCCCUAUAAUACAGACGUUGGUGCAUUUAACGUUGUCCCAGAGUUCUCUGAGACUCUCUUCAUUUGUUUUCAAUCUUUUUUCUCUUUUCUGUUCCGCAUUCGUAAUUUCUUCAAAUCUGUCCUCCACCUCGCUUAUUCAUUCUUCUGCCUCCUGUAUUCUGCUGUUUCAGUUAUUGUAUCUCGCAUCUCUUAAGUUUUAUAUCUUGUACCUCUUUGCUCAGUGUUUCCUGUAAGUUAUCCAUCUUUGCCUCCAGUUUAUUUCCAAUGUCUUGCAUCAUCUUCAGCAUCAACAGUCUAAAGUCUUUUUCCUGGAGGCUGAGACUCUCCUCAUGGCUUAGCUGAUUUUCUGGGGUUUUUCCUUUCUCCCUUGUCUGAGUUAUAGUUCUCUGUCUUGUCUUUUUAUAGGUUUUUGGUGUGGUGACCUUUUUACAGAUAAGAGAGUUGCAGCCUCUCUUACUUCUGGUGUCUGCCACCCUUGUGGCUGAAGUUGGUAUGGGGGGCUUGCUGUAGGCUUCUUGAUGGGAGGGGCUGAUGCCUGCCCACUGGUGGGUGGAGCUGAUUCUAAUCCCUCUGGUGGGUGAGGCUUAGUCUCUGGAUGGGAUUAGAGGCAGCUGUAGGCCUGAGGGGUCUUUAGGUAUCCUGUUUACUGAGGGGCAGGGCUGUGAUCCCACCUGGAUUGUUGUUUGCCCAGGGCCUUCUCAGCACUGAUGGGUGGCACCAGGUUUUCCCAAAAUGGCCACCUCCAGAGAAAGGCACAGCUGCUGAAUAUUGCUGAGAGCUCUGCUUCCAAUGUCCUUCCCUCACAACAAGCCACAUUCACCCGUUUUCCCAGGAGGUCGCUUGGGAAAACGAGAACUGCAGUCAGGUGUGACCCAGAUUCCUAUGGAGACUUAGCUUUGCCAUGGAACCCAGUGCACGUGAAAGUCCGUGUGUGCUUUUUAAGAAUGGGGUCUCCAUUUCCCCGAGUCCUAUGGAGCUCCUGUGCACAAGCCCCACUGGCCUUCAAUGCCAGAUGCUCCAGGGGCUCUUUCUCCCAGUGCCAGAUCCCCACACGUGGGAGUUUGAUGUGGGGCUCAGAACUCUCACUCCUAUAGGUGAGUCUCUGUGAACCAGUUAGUUUCCAGUAUGUGGGGGCUUCCCACCUGGGAGGUAUGGGGUUGUUUAUAUUGCAUAAUCACCCCUCCUACUUCUUGAUGUGGCCUCCUGUCUUCUGGAGUUAGGGUAUCUUUUUUUAAGGUUUCCAGUCCAUUUGGUUGAAGAUUACUCAGCCCUUAGUUGUGAGUUUUGUUGCUUUUAGGAGAGAAGUUGAGCUCCAGUCCUAUUCUGCCAUCUUAAUCCCAUUUGAGCUGUGUUCUUACACUAAGAGACUCCUUCUGUUCAAAAAUGCUGGAUGGUGGAGUUCCCGUCGUGGUGCAGUGGUUAACGAAUCCGACUAGGAACCAUGAGGUUGCGGGUUCGGUCCCUGCCCUUGCUCAGUGGUUAACGAUCCGGCGUUGCCGCGAGCUGUGGUGUAGGUCGCAGACGUGGCUCAGAUCCUGCGUUGCUGUGGCUCUGUCGUAGGCUGGGGGCUACAGCUCCGAUUCGACCCCUAGCCUGGGAACCUCCAUAUGCCGCGGGAGCGGCCCUAGAAAUGGCAAAAAG